UGGGAACCUUCCCUAUGGUUCGGAAUAGCCCAGGGAAACUUGGGCUAAUACCGGAUAAGUCCGUAAGGAGAAAGAUUUAUCGCCAAAGGAUCGGCCCGCGUCUGAUUAGCUAGUUGGUAGGGUAAUGGCCUACCAAGGCUACGAUCAGUAGCUGGUCUGAGAGGAUGAUCAGCCACAUUGGGACUGAGACACGGCCCAGACUCCUACGGGAGGCAG
Molecule: ribosomal RNA, 216 nt
Filed under: uncultured bacterium
Lineage: Bacteria
Description: partial 16S ribosomal RNA
Rfam family: Bacterial small subunit ribosomal RNA
Source: RNAcentral